RNAcentral lists this ribosomal RNA (158 nucleotides) under Parasympodiella elongata. RNAcentral's name for it is "5.8S ribosomal RNA". It matches the Rfam family "5.8S ribosomal RNA". Rfam says of the family: 5.8S ribosomal RNA (5.8S rRNA) is a component of the large subunit of the eukaryotic ribosome. Lineage: Eukaryota; Fungi; Ascomycota; Sordariomycetes; Coronophorales; Scortechiniaceae. RNAcentral also lists the same sequence under 1 other name. The record is from RNAcentral.
AAACUUUUAGCGGCGGAUCUCUUGGCUCAAGCAUCGAUGAAGAACGCAGCGAAAUGCGAUAACUAGUGUGAAUUGCAGAAUUCAGUGAACCAUCGAGUCUUUGAACGCACAUUGCGGCCGCCGGCACUCCGGCGGCCACACCUGUCCGAGCGCCACUA